Molecule: non-coding RNA, 4371 nt
Organism: Manis javanica (Malayan pangolin)
Lineage: Eukaryota; Metazoa; Chordata; Mammalia; Pholidota; Manidae
Source: RefSeq, a predicted model, not a curated record
GUGGGAGGUUUCAGGCAUUGGAUAUAUAAAUGCAAAUUUGUGGAGGUUGCUUGGGAAAUGAGAACAGUAGAAUUAAGCUACAGAAAAUUUUGCCUUAUUCCCAGAAUCUAGGGAUUGGACCAGAGCCCUGGUGUAGCUUGAACAGAAGUUACUUGUGCAUGUCAAUAAAUGAUUUUCACCAUUCUGAAGCUUAACAGAAAUAUUGUUCAAUACGAAAAAAACCCUUGCCAUUGCCGUUUUUUUUGUUUUCCCCAGCGGUAGCAAGUGGCAAGUGAGAGAAUGUUUUUAAUUGAAAUCACAGAACUUCAUCUCAGCCAACUUUCAAUUGCUUCCCUCGUGCAGCAUUUUGCCAGAGUUUCAAACAAGACUGUACAAGAAAGGAAAAUAAUGUGGUAUUCACAGAUACUACGCCGGUAUCUCUAGCCAGUUAAGUCACUGUGUUACUCUCACCGUUCUGCAGAGGGUGGGCAGAAUUGUACUUCAUAUACUUUCUCUGAGCUUCCGUGUCUGCACUCAGGCCCUCCGUGGGGGAUUCCUCCUGUGUUCACAGGCCACCCUGGCUUAGGUGCCUUUCCCUUCCUGUGGCCUCAUCUUCAUCCUUCUUGUCUGUUGAUUAUUGUUGUCAGGGAGUCUUCUGUGUAGGACUGUGAGUUGCAAAUAGCCUAAUGCUCUUACUAACUUCCUCCCCAUUCCUACUCCAAAUUCACUAGAACCUAGUCAAAUAGUGAUGACUGUUAUUUGUUUGCGUGCUGUUAGAGAACCAGAGAUGGCAAAGUAAUUGUUUCUAGUAUACGAUUACUAAGUGAGCAUUUAUUGAGUACCUACAUAUGCUUGGCCCUGUUUCAUGUCUACUGCUAGACAAUUAAUAUGUACCUGAUUUUAUUUUCAUCCAUACCUGUAUUUCCUCUUCCCAAUUAUAAUCCUGUAUUUUCUGUCUAACUCUCAUCCAUCAUGCUCAUUUCAGUGACUGAGAAGUUUUGUUGAGAUGUUCAAUUUAUACCUUUCAUGUCUUGAGUGGUGGUGUGAAUUUAAAUUGUUAAUGAAUUGAAAGAGGCCUUUCAGUAAUAUUCAUGUGCCUUUGCAGUAAUAUUCAAGCCAUGGUGAUUGGAUAACACUGCCUAUCACUUGUCCCAAAGACAUGCAAAGAAUCAUAAUUUCCCAGAAGGAUGGAAAGCUCAUUAUAUUUGUGGUCCAGCUCCUUUCAUUUUAUUCCUCUGGUGGUGUUCUCUCUAUGCGGUUUUAACCCAAUCAGAUCAAAAGGAAUGGUCUGUUACCCAUGGCUGAAUGAGAUCUGUCACAGUAUUUACCUUUGGGCCACUGUCUUUAGGGAGAAAAAAAUACCACAGUUCGUUUAGAUGUGAUCUCUCUGGGGCUUCUUCGUAUCAGCCAGGCUGUUGGGUGGUGUUGAUCUGAUCCUCUUUGAGCAUCUAUUCUCCAGUGUCACAAGAGACACAGUGGUAGUGAAUCUGUAUUCCUCUCCACGCUGGGGGAGCGCUAAGCAAGUGCUUCCAUUUGGAGAACAAACAGGUAUCUCUGGGCUUCUAGGCAGGUGGGGAAUGCUGAAUAAUUAAUUGGUCUCUAGGAAGAUGCUAAUUGCUAUAGUUGAAUAUUCUUUUGGACUUAAUGUCAAUCGUAGUUUGACUAUUGCAGAAUCCUUUCAGAGCAUAAAAGUGUUUAGGAGUGAGUGCAUUAAUGGUACAGAUAGGCAUUGUUUUUGAACAUUAAUAUGGAGCAUGACUUGGCAUAGUUUUGGAAGAGGCUUUUCCAUCUACAUGACUUUGAUUUGAGCCAUUAACUAUGCACUUGGCACUUCAAACUAUAAUUAAUUUAGGUUAAGUUGUUCCCUUUGAUAAAGAAAGCUGUAGGAUAGGUGGUCAUUAAUUACAUCAAGAAGCUUUGUAGGGGUUUUGAAAGACAAAAUUGGAUUCCUGUUUGAAGACAAAGAAGUGUCUGCUGUGCCUUGCCUUUUGGAAUGAAUGAGAGUAAUUUUAGGAAUUCCAGCCUCUGCCCAUAAGGUGACAGUUUGGUUCUGAAUCCUCAAGACGUCACUUACACAAAACCAGACCUGCAAGUGCCGUGUGUUUUUCAUACGUUGUGUUCUUUAACAUCUCCAUCAAGGCUUUGGGUGGAGAGAAAAGGGAUUGAAAAAGAUGUGCUGAAAUUUCAAGUAAGGCUUUCUGCCUAUUGCACUUCCUGUGAAUCCAUCCUAAGGAGCAAGUGCGGACAUUGCCCACAUUUAAGACUUAUUCACUGAAGAGGUGCAGUCACUUUAAUGCCUGGCAUUUUACUCAACUAACUCAUUGGUGAAAUAAAGGAUUGAUGGAUUGAUGUUCAACUUAUAUAAGGCCAUGUACAUAUUGCUAAGUUCCCCCUGAACAUCGUAGGUAUCUAAAAAAGAGACUUUUUGAUUUGUUUUAAUAAAUAACAUUAAGCGCCUCCAUUUCCAAUCCCUGUUUGGAAAUGUCACAAUGAUGGGUGUGUGUUAUUUUGACCCCAUGUGAAGAUUCCGUGGCAACAGUAAACAUUCACAUUGCAGAUUUUCAUAAGGCAAUAAAUCCACAUGAUGCAAGCAGCCUUGGCCUGCAAUAAAGAUGUGUUGUGAAAUUUCCCAUGCCAGAGGAGACACUCAUAGCUUGGGACUGGCACUUUCAAGCCUGUAGACAGUGAUACCUGGGCACUCCCCUUCUGGACUUGCCAUCAGCUGGAGUUUGCGGCCCAUGGGGUUCCUUGUGUUGCCUGGCUCUGUUUGUUUAAGCUUCAUUGCAUGGCUUGUACUACUGUCCUAAGUAGUUGCUCUUUUUCCCAAGAACUCUCUUUGCAGUAUACUCUUGGUGUUUUAUUUCUCUUUUCUUACAUUAAUCCUCAAUUAAGAACAAGCCCUAACAUUCAACAUCAUUGUUAAGGGCUAAGAAUAAUUUCUGAGAGAAUUUCUAAUUGCUGCCUUUCCAAAAUCUGGUAAUUUGUAUUUGGAUACUCUUAGCACAAUUUGGGGGAGAGGGGUGAUUUACUUUUCUUUCUUCCUUUUUUUUAAAAACGUGCACGCGUCCCAGCUUUCACUGAAGACAGCACAGUCUCAAUGGCAUGGUUUACAAGUGGUGUAAUGGAAAUUAUACAGGAUUGGAGCCACACAGGCCUGUUUUAACAUCUUAGCAUCAUCGUGUAUUAAUUAUGUGACUUUGGCAAGUCACACAGCCUCUCCGAAACUCAAUUUUCUCACUGUUAGUUAGGACUUAAAAUAUUAACUGUGAUUCAUCUAUAAUAUUCAUUAGGGUUUGUGGCAGAAAUUGCAGUGAUAGCUCCCAUUUCACAUACUGUUCUCCAAUUCUGAUUUGGAUGCCCCUACAUUGUGGAGGUAGGGGUUGGUGUUGUCUGUCUCCUCUUUGAAUCGGGGUGAGAGAAAGUGGUUGUGAUUAUGGUGAAGGUGGGGAUGUGAGGUUUCCAAGACAGAGUCAAAAGGAGUGAUAUGGCUUCCACCUGAUUGUCUUGGGACUUUCCAUUUUGGAAUGUAGCCAGCAACCAAUGAGGAAGCUCAAGCAGCCACAUGGAGAGGCCCCUCUAGGUGUUUCCAGCGGACAGCCCAGCUGAGGCCCCGGCGAUGCUUGCCUCUCACUGAUGAGUCACCUUCCGUCUUCCCAGUGGAAGCUCCAGGUCUCAAGGAACAGAGAAGAGACCUUUCCUCUGUGCUCGGUACAAAAUCCUGACUCAGAAAUUGUAAAAGAUGAAGUUACUGUUGUCUGAAGCUGUAAUGUUUUGGGGUGAUUUAUUAUGCAUCAAAAGACAACCAGAACAAGUUUAUCGUGAAAGUCAAAUGAAACAGUGAUUCUCUUUCUGGGUUUGGAUACCAUUUAAUAGCCAUGUGACCUUAGACAUACUACUUAACUGCUUUUGUGUCUGUGUGUUUUUAUUGAUCAAUAGGGCCAACAGUACCUCCCUCUAGACUUAUAGGAGAAUUCAUCAUUGAAUACGUGUAGAUGCUCAAUAAAUGUUAGUUGUCAUUAUUUUCUAUUAAACUGUGUUGCUGGAGUUUGACAAUGUGUGGGGAGAUUUAUGUUAAUGGUGUUAUGAUUUUAAAAAGGAGUUAUGCAAAUUUUUAAGUGACUUUCCUAGGCAAGAAACCAGUGGGGCUUUGGAUAUCAAAUUUUGAAUGUAAUUUUCAUGAAGUGAAAAAAAAUAAAAGAAAAUUAAAAAUAAAUGUUACUAAAUCCUGCCAAGCAUGUAUUUCAUAUAUUUUUCUAUAGUCCAGGAACCCUUUGGCUUCAACUGAUAGCAGGAGACAUAAAUACUCCAGUAUAGGAUAUUGACAGAAGGGUUAGAGAAUAGUAAGUAGGAAGAAAGUCUUAAUUUAUUCAUAUUAUGUACCAGAACUGCACU